This 73-nucleotide transfer RNA is filed under the name Fidelibacterota bacterium. Its description in RNAcentral is "tRNA-Thr". It matches the Rfam family "tRNA". Rfam says of the family: Transfer RNA (tRNA) molecules are approximately 80 nucleotides in length. The record is from RNAcentral. Lineage: Bacteria; Pseudomonadati; Fidelibacterota. RNAcentral also lists the same sequence under 1 other name.
GCCACCUUAGCUCAGCUGGUAGAGCACCGCUUUCGUAAAGCGGUUGUCGCCGGUUCGAGUCCGGCAGGUGGCU